UACGUAGGGUGCAAGCGUUAAUCGGAAUUACAGGGCGUAAAGCGUGCGCAGGCGGUUUUGUAAGCCAGAUGUGAAAUCCCCGGGCUUAACCUGGGAAUGGCAUUUGGGACUGCAAGGCUGGAGUGUGGCAGAGGAGACUGGAAUUCCUGGUGUAGCAGUGAAAUGCGUAGAUAUCAGGAGGAAUACCGAUGGCGAAGGCAGGUCUCUGGGCUGACACUGACGCUCAUGCACGAAAGCGUGGGGAGCAAACAGG
This 253-nucleotide ribosomal RNA is filed under the name uncultured bacterium. Its description in RNAcentral is "partial 16S ribosomal RNA". It matches the Rfam family "Bacterial small subunit ribosomal RNA", at positions 524 to 776 of the family's 1533-position model. The record is from RNAcentral.